CUAUAAAUUAUUUACAAAUAUAAAGCUUUAUGAAUUCCAAAUAUAUUAAAUAGAAACAUGACAUACAGUAAGCCAUCACUUUCCGUAUGUUUGUGUGUGAAGGUUUAAGCAGAAUCUAGGAUGGCCACUGGUGUGAAUGAUCACACUAUAUUCAAUAUUAGCCUAUACUGAUGACGUCAAGGGGGUAGGGGCCCCCAAAUCAAAUAAAAGUUUUAAAAAGUAUCGAAAUCGAGAUUCUUCAAAACAAUAAUUUUGGUAUCAUGACACUACUACCAUGGUAUGCAAAGACCAACAGCAGGCAUAUUGUCUUUUGUCAAUUGUCAAUAUACAGAAGUUGGUAAUGUGCUGUUGCCUAAAACAUAUUCUCACAUGGGUCGUGCCAUUUUUUUUGUAAUAUGUCCUGAAGAUGAUACCUAAACAAGUUGCCCAUACUUCAAAAAAUGCUUCAUAGUGUUUUCAUUUAAGCCUAUCAAAAUUUGACCAUCCGUAUCUUAAAAAACUAUUGGUCUGGAAUGAUGUGGCCAAAAGGUGACACGUACAAGUUUAGCAAUGCGGUUGAUAUCAUUGAUAGCGUGACUGAGGGCCCAUAAAGGGGAGGUCACUGCAAUAGCAGCAUUUGGUUUCACUGAAGUCACAGAAGGAUCAGUCCCUCUUACAACGCUGUGGGCCUGUUACUUUUCUUAAUUCUUAAGGAUGUUGAUGAAAGGGCGUGUGAAAGUAUUCUUCUAUUUGUCGAUGCUCCUCCAUCACAAUGUAGCAGGUGUAUGCAGGUUUUACCAUCUUGUGAACACCACUUCAAAAGAGACACAAGAAGUGUUUCAUAAAUUGAAACAGGCUUUCAAAGUGAAUGGGUCAAAUAUACAGUUUACAGACAUUCAACCGGUCAAUGUUUCACAACCAAAAAGAAAUCUGAUGAACCAAACUGACUGUGGACUGAAGUACAUGCUCAAAGCCAUUGAUUUAAUUAAGAAGGUUCAAUCAGACGAUAUCCAUGAUAACAAGCUAGAUAAAGAGCUGACCAACUUGGCCGCUAGAGUGAAUCAAGGCUGCAAUUAUCUGAACUCAGCUUUGGGAGGAGGAUGCUCCAGAAACACAAGUGAACCCCAGCUGCCGGAAUCUAAUUAUGAGAGGAGAAGGUGGUGUCUAAGCAUAUUGGAAAAGUUUGAUAACUUUUUAAGCUCGUUGAGAAAACUGUCUUGUUAACAAAUGUUAACAAAACAUUUUAGGAAUACAAAAUUCCAGAAGUCAUCUUAAUCAGGUAUCUGUGUUAGGACUUACUAUAUAUAAUAUUUAUUUUAUUGUACGAUGUCAUGAAAUGUAUUUGCUGUAUUUCUAUUGUUUUUAUUUAUUUAUAAGAGUAGGCUUUGGAUAGGAAGGCAGGCAAAUACAAAUGAUUGUUCUGUGACUGAAAUGUUGGUGGUGAACUGCACCUUUAUAUAUAACUAAUAAAGUAUUGCUGUUGUAAAGUU
Molecule: long non-coding RNA, 1469 nt
Organism: Alosa sapidissima (American shad)
Lineage: Eukaryota; Metazoa; Chordata; Actinopteri; Clupeiformes; Clupeidae
Exons: 3
Source: RefSeq, a predicted model, not a curated record